Non-coding RNA from Anolis sagrei ordinatus, 618 nucleotides. The record is from RefSeq and is a predicted model, not a curated record. NCBI's taxonomy places the organism in Eukaryota, Metazoa, Chordata, Lepidosauria, Squamata, Anolidae.
UGAAGGCAAAUGUACAUGAAUCCAUGAACUCCAGUAACCUCUCUUGACCAACCAGAGAUGGGACAUAAUGUAUGGAACAAAGGACCUUCCUGGAUCUCAGUGGAAGCCCAUCUGCCCACUGCCAAGCAGUUCCCCUUCAGGGAUGUUAGUCAUCCAUGGGACAAAGGUCCAGGACAAAACCGAGCUGGCUUGAUUCCCAGGGACCUCUCUGCCUCCAAGACCGCCUCCGCCAGCCCAUUGGAAGCCCUGGGGCCUCCCUGCCCAGCUGGGAGGAGAUCCCCGGACAUAAUCACCGGCCAGGGCCAACCUCCUAACCAAUCAGAGGCCUGGGGGACACCAGCUGGCUUCUUGGUGCCGGCCAAUCAGGAGAAAGGGGGGGGGGGGCUUUCAAAAUUUAGCAAUGUUAAUGCAUGAGAAUUCUUGUGUAUAAAAAUAUCUGCUUAUGAUUAUGUUUUUACACUUGUACUCUUCAAGCAUCCAUGCUGUACAAGUGUCCCUUUUGUGCAAACUGAAUAAAGUAUCUGUUUGCUUUCAACCUGGUGAGAUUCUUGGUUCCUGAUUCCUGUUUUGUGCUACCAACGGUUAGCAAAGCUUGCCAGGUGUCCCUCGGUUAUCCAU